AUGAUGGAAUUACUGAUUAAUGAAUCAAGAUUCUGUGCAACUGCAUUUUGCACAAAGAGUACUGUCACUGCUUCUUUCCUCUUUCAUUCAUUCAGACUUGCUGAAUUACACUUGUGCGACCUGUCACCUCAGCUACUUUCAUUUUUUUUCUUCAUUUCUCAUUCUCACAUUGUCCUUUUGUCCUCCUCUGCUUACCGUAGGGCAACCACACAGAUCUCUGCAGCAGCACCAGCAGUCUGCCUUCAGCCAGACUACAAAAUGGACGGGGGUCACUGCAUGAAGAAAGUUCAUACUCUGCCACUAGGCGUUUCAGUGGCUCCAGCACUAGAGGCGCUUCAGACUAUAAUGGUUUUCUGGGCUCCAGCUCCAGGGCCUCUUCUAGGGCGAGUUCAGCCCGUGCCAGUCCUGUGGUGGAGGAAAGGUCAGAUUUCCUGGAAAAAGGGUCCAGGACAGCCUCCACCCUCUCUGCUGCAACUCUAGCAUCCCUUGGUGGAGGUUUAUCACGAAGAGGAAGCUGUGAUACCUCGAUUUCAGUGGACACUGAGGCCUCCAUACGGGAAAUGAAGGUAAUUGAAGGUGUAUUUAUAAUACUGUGUUAUAAUGACCAUGGUCUGUAUGUAAUUUCAUAAUUUUUGUUUGUCUGCUCUCAGGACUCCCUGGUGGAGGUGGAGGAGAAAUACCGUAAGGCAAUGGUGUCCAAUGCUCAGCUGGACAAUGAGAAGACAAACCUGAUGUAUCAGGUGGACACACUGAGAGAUACUCUGAUGGAGCUGGAGGAAUUUCUGUGUGAGACACGCAGAGAGUGUGAGGAGAAAAUCAGAGUAAGGGCUGUCAAGUGGUGAAAUCACUUUUUUUUUUUUUUAAAUCCUCUAGAAUAAUUGACCCUUGUACAAAUGACUAAUUGUUUUGAUUUUGUUCAAUACAAAAUAUG
Cyprinus carpio (common carp) is the source of this 931-nucleotide long non-coding RNA. NCBI's taxonomy places the organism in Eukaryota, Metazoa, Chordata, Actinopteri, Cypriniformes, Cyprinidae. The record is from Ensembl.